RNAcentral lists this ribosomal RNA (497 nucleotides) under uncultured bacterium. Its description in RNAcentral is "partial 16S ribosomal RNA". It matches the Rfam family "Bacterial small subunit ribosomal RNA", at positions 28 to 507 of the family's 1533-position model. The record is from RNAcentral.
GAUGAACGCUGGCGGCGUGCCUAAUACAUGCAAGUCGAGCGAACGGACGAGAAGCUUGCUUUUCUGAUGUUAGCGGCGGACGGGUGAGUAACACGUGGAUAACCUACCUAUAAGACUGGGAUAACUUCGGGAAACCGGAGCUAAUACCGGAUAAUAUUUUGAACCGCAUGGUUCAAAAGUGAAAGACGGUCUUGCUGUCACUUAUAGAUGGAUCCGCGCUGCAUUAGCUAGUUGGUAAGGUAACGGCUUACCAAGGCAACGAUGCAUAGCCGACCUGAGAGGGUGAUCGGCCACACUGGAACUGAGACACGGUCCAGACUCCUACGGGAGGCAGCAGUAGGGAAUCUUCCGCAAUGGGCGAAAGCCUGACGGGGCAACGCCGCGUGAGUGAUGAAGGUCUUCGGAUCGUAAAACUCUGUUAUUAGGGAAGAACAUAUGUGUAAGUAACUGUGCACACCUUGACGGUACCUAAUCAGAAAGCCACGGCUAACUACGUG